This 725-nucleotide ribosomal RNA is filed under the name Bacillus sp. ht1-16-1. RNAcentral's name for it is "bacterial SSU rRNA". It matches the Rfam family "Bacterial small subunit ribosomal RNA", at positions 56 to 763 of the family's 1533-position model. RNAcentral also lists the same sequence under 1 other name. Lineage: Bacteria; Bacillati; Bacillota; Bacilli; Caryophanales; Bacillaceae. The record is from RNAcentral.
UGCAGUCGAGCGAACUGAUUAGAAGCUUGCUUCUAUGACGUUAGCGGCGGACGGGUGAGUAACACGUGGGCAACCUGCCUGUAAGACUGGGAUAACUUCGGGAAACCGAAGCUAAUACCGGAUAGGAUCUUCUCCUUCAUGGGAGAUGAUUGAAAGAUGGUUUCGGCUAUCACUUACAGAUGGGCCCGCGGUGCAUUAGCUAGUUGGUGAGGUAACGGCUCACCAAGGCAACGAUGCAUAGCCGACCUGAGAGGGUGAUCGGCCACACUGGGACUGAGACACGGCCCAGACUCCUACGGGAGGCAGCAGUAGGGAAUCUUCCGCAAUGGACGAAAGUCUGACGGAGCAACGCCGCGUGAGUGAUGAAGGCUUUCGGGUCGUAAAACUCUGUUGUUAGGGAAGAACAAGUACGAGAGUAACUGCUUGUACCUUGACGGUACCUAACCAGAAAGCCACGGCUAACUACGUGCCAGCAGCCGCGGUAAUACGUAGGUGGCAAGCGUUAUCCGGAAUUAUUGGGCGUAAAGCGCGCGCAGGCGGUUUCUUAAGUCUGAUGUGAAAGCCCACGGCUCAACCGUGGAGGGUCAUUGGAAACUGGGGAACUUGAGUGCAGAAGAGAAAAGCGGAAUUCCACGUGUAGCGGUGAAAUGCGUAGAGAUGUGGAGGAACACCAGUGGCGAAGGCGGCUUUUUGGUCUGUAACUGACGCUGAGGCGCGAAAGCGUG